Molecule: small nucleolar RNA, 131 nt
Filed under: Oryza sativa (Asian cultivated rice)
Lineage: Eukaryota; Viridiplantae; Streptophyta; Magnoliopsida; Poales; Poaceae
Description: Z120 small nucleolar RNA
Source: RNAcentral
UCUGCCUGUGAUUAAACCUUGCACGUCAGUCCGAUCCCAUUCUCAGUAGAUCUGAGAGGACAACCUGGUCUGAUUUGUUCCUCCGCAGUUCUUUGGAGAUCUAGUGAUAUUUCACUGCUUUCUGAGGAAGA